RNAcentral lists this ribosomal RNA (293 nucleotides) under uncultured eukaryote. RNAcentral's name for it is "partial 18S ribosomal RNA". It matches the Rfam family "Eukaryotic small subunit ribosomal RNA", at positions 6 to 298 of the family's 1831-position model. The record is from RNAcentral.
GGUUGAUCCUGCCAGUACUAUAUGCUUGUCUCAAAGAUUAAGCCAUGCAUGUCCAAGUAUAAGCACUCUUAUACAGCGAAACUGCGUACAGCUCAUUACAUCAGUUAUCAUGUCUUUGCAAAUGGAUUUUUACAUGGAUACCCGUAGAAAAUCUAGAGCUAAUACAUGCGUCCAGUGGUUUGUUUUGCGACAAAUCAUGUGUUUAUUAGAUAUGAACCAAUCCCGUGGCAACACGGUUGUAUGGUGAUUCCUAGUAACCGAUCGGAUCUCCCCUAACACGGGAGACAGUGCAU